GCUGGCCUUGCAUGCCCAACUCGUGAGGUGAGCAAAAAGUGUUUGGCGAAUUGUUUCUUGGAAAGAAUAGAAAUAUCAUUGGGAUUUCAUAGGAUUAUGAUUGCAUGGUUGAAAGACUAUUAUUAAAUCUCAAUCCUUGCAUGCAAAUGUUCUCUUACGAUUCUUAGAAUUGUUAGGUCCCUUGAGAGUUAGGAUCCACUUGGGUCGGGUAUAGCGUAGUCCCUUAGUCAUCUGGUUCACCAAUAACCAGAGGGUGGAAUCAGUUUUUUAGAAAUUUGGUGUUGCUUGAUCAAAAUGUUUGUAGCAGCAAGUUUAUAUAGGCGAGCAUAAGAUGUUUGUUGAAAUGUUUCUUCCAAAUUUUGUCUUGUUUGGUUGAAAUGUUUGUAGGAGUUAGCUUAUCUAAAUAUAGUAUAUGGUGCCUGUCAAAAUGUUAUCUAGUGUUAAGUCACGUUUGUGGUGUUUAUUAGGCUUGGAGAAACUCUAUAACAAGGUAUUUGAAAAGGUAAUUUAAGUAGGAAAGGUAUGAUUAAAUGAUAUGAAAUGGUGUUAUUUUAUAAUGUGUUGAAAUCAUUGAGGAUAUGCAUUUCCAGUUGUUGUAGGCUUGUACCAAGGAUCCAGACUAAGGCAUAUUUUUUGAAACCAGUUGUAGAACUUACUGCUAAUACAUAGAAAGGUGGACAGUGAUAUAUGUUAUUUGCACAUGGUAUAUUGUGAAUUGAUUCAAUGCCUAGCACGAGUCACUUUGUCGAUGAAAGAACUAGGGAUUGAAAAAAUUUAGGUAUUAAAUUCAAAAGUUAUGAAACAACUAAUAAACAUAUUACUAGCAUGAAUAAGUAGAUUGAUUUAUAAGUGAGAUUAUUGAAAAACAAGACAAUUGACAAAAGUUUCUAAGAACAAAUAAACUGAGAGAAGGAUCAUGGUGUUGUCUUAAUCUUGAAAACUUUUUAAAACAUGGUGAAUAUUCUGAUAUUGGUCUUGAUCUGUUUUCAAAGUUAAAAGUUUUAAAAAAAAUUUUACAAACAGAAACUAGGACCUCUAUUGAUAUUUUAAGUUUUAUAAAAAAAACAGAUUCUUUUCUAAAUGCAUGCAUUGCUUAUAAAAUAUUGUUAACAAUACGUGUAAUAGUUGCUUCUGCUGAAAGAAAUUUUUCAAAAUUAAAGUUGAUAAAAUCUUAUUUGUGGUUAACUAUAUCAAAAAAAGAUUAAAUGGAUAAGCUAUAUUGUCGAUUGAAAGGAGUAUUUUAAUGAAUUUUUGAUUAUAAAAGUUUGAUUAGUAAUUUUACAUCUUAAAAAGUUAGACGAUUUAUUUUUAAAUAUAAUUUUAAAGUAUUUUGCACUUAUUCAAAUUUUUUCAUAAUUUUUUUUUAUAAAAAAAAAUGUCUUACCUCUAAAUACAUUGGGCCGCCUCUGCACCGCCGUCACCGCCCGCGGUCUCCUCUGUACCCAUCAUCCUCUACCUCCGCUGCCAACGCCCACUCACUCACUCUCUCUCUCUCUCUCUCUCUGCGCGUUCUGCCUCCCCGUCGACCGGCGACCUUUGACUGCUCUGUUUUCGACUGGGAUUUUACGCUCGCCCUAGCCGCUAGGAUUCUUCCGGGUCUCGGCCUCUCGGGCUUGGUUGGAGAACUUUGGCCCGGAGCCGGGGUGAUCUGGCUGCAUCCCCACGAAUACAAGACUGGCGACCUUUGAAAUUAAUUACUAAUAAAGCAUUUAGCGAAUCAUGAGUUGCAUGGCGCAUGGCGUUUCAUUCUGAAUCUGAAAAUUCAUGAGAACAUGUCAAAAAAAAAAAAACAAAGAAAAGGAUUUCUUAGAAAUACGAUGUGGAUUCCACCCACAAAUAUUUAAAUGCAGAAAGAUGCCGAUUGACUCACAAUUCUUGCUGCUCCUUUUUGGAAUCUCGGUCAAGUCUAUAAUAUGAGCUUACUUCAUCAAAGUUUACAGUUUUCUUUGGGAGGCAAAAGCAAUUGGCUCAUGCUUCUUGCAAAUUCUUCUUGCACCUGAAACUAGUAGUUUGUAAAAAUGCUAUUAAGCCUCUUAUUACACCUCUAGCUGUUGCUAACAACUUAAGACAACCAACUACCCUUUGAACCCUCAAAUAUUCUUUAGAGAACAAGAGCAAUGGUUAAGAGUGUCAUGCGAAAAAAAAUUGCUGACCCGUGGCUCUUCAUAUUUGCAUUAAGGUAUUUAAGUUAAGGAUGUUGUUGUAAAUUGAUAUCUACAAGUAAAUAAGCCCGAUCUCCAAGGGAAUCACUAAUUUACUUUCUGAUAUGAUUAAUGGAUACAAAACGAUAUAAUGUAUUAAAAUGAAAAAUCAAAUAUUUUACUUACCAAAAGAUCGACAAUCACUUCUCUUUGUUUCGAGAAUGGAUGCCUCAAUUGGAUAUGCAGCCCAGCAUCACGGCAUGCUUUGCUAUCAUCUUUGCAUUUUCAACAAACCCUAGAUAAACACCAUCGGCAAAAUAAUUAUAAUAAAUUAAAAAUAAUUAUGGUAAGACAAUUAUUUUAAAGAUGAUGUUCGAUAAGAUGGCAGGAGUUUCUCAAACUCACCCAAGAGAUCAGUUAAAAAGGCCAAGAGGUGUGUAAAGAUCAGGUGAUUGUAUGUAUAAGAUUCAUUUGUUUGAAAUGAGAGGUGAGAGGAGAUGAUAGGUGUUUGUUGGGUUUACCUAGAGGUAAUUCUAAAGUGAAGGCUUCUAACCAUGAAGGAAGAGAGCACAUAAGAAAAGGAUAGAUAAGGAAUAGGAUGUCAUGAUGCUUGGGUCUAAUAAUGGGUGAACAAAUAUUGGUUAAAAAGCUUGCACAUAAAAAUUGUAUAUAUAAAUUGGGCUUCACAUAGGUUGGGCUUGGGUUGUUUAUGAGUUGGUGCUACGGCUUGGGUUUGGAUUGUCUAUUGGUUGCCAUUGGGUUUGGCUAUGGCAUGGGCAUGGGGUAGCUACAUAGUGAAAUUAGAUUAGUUAUUAAUUGGUUCAUGUGAGGAUAAUGGGUGGGAUUGGAAUUGGGGAUUAGUCCAAGGAAAAUUAGAUCAAGGAGAAGAAAAGGACACCAAGGGGUGUCUAGAAAUACAAAACAAAAUAAAUAAAUAAACAAAUAUACAUACGCCACUGCAUGUGUCAAAUUUUGAGGCACACCUAUUACUACGGUGUCCCGCUUCUAAUGCUCCUCAUCAUCAAUAACAUGGUUUUAGAACAGAAUCACAGGCAAGAUGAAUGCAUAAUGGAUCAAGAGAUUUAAUAACUAGAAACAAUGAAAUUAUUUAGGCAAGAAAAACAUGUCUAUAUUGGAUAUAUAAGACACCGCUUGCUAAAUCUCAUAGUAAAUGUCUAAAUGUUUAAAAUAACCAAUAUGAUCUUAGGUGAAGUUUAGGUACUGUUGUGAUGUCUACAUAUCGAUAAUCAAAGCAAAAUUAUGUCCAAUUGGUGUAUAAAAUAACAUCUAAAUGCUACUCAUUAUGCACGCCACUAAUUUUGAAUUGAGAUGUAUAGGUUGAUUUUUAGGUUUUCGAUAGACACAUAUCGAUGAUCAAAGAAAAAUUAUGUCCAAUUGGUAGCAUCUACAUGAGAGCACCACUAUCAAAGUGUGCUAAUUUGGCCCACCUUCUUGUAUAAAGGCUUCGAGCAUAUUUUAUAACACUUGUUGAUGGUAUCUACCUGCAGUGACAUGCAGCACCCCUAGGUUUACAUUAGCUUAAAAUGACCAUAAAACCCCAUGAGCUCAAGUGCUUAACGUAGUACUUGAUCCAACUACUUUCUAGGAAAAUUAAGGUCUCUUUGUUUAAUAAUAAACCCUCAAUAAGGGCAAUUUCAUCCUUCAAGAUAAAAGCUUCGCAUGUACAAGGAACACUUUAGAAAUGAUUCAUGCGAUUAACGUGAGAGAUAGCUGAGCAUUAAAAGGUCAAUUUAGUGAGAAAUAAUCGACGAAGAAAAAGGUGGUUUCUACAUUUGAUGCUCCUAGGGUUUCUUUUUUCAGUCUCUACUUUUUUAAUUACAGACCCUCAACAAAAAUAUUAUCGGUUUCCAAGAUUAAAAAAAAAAAUCACAGUAUAAAAAGUACUCUAAAAGGGUUCACAAGAAUAAAGUGAUAUAGAAAAGCAUUAAAACGUAAAAGAUUGGCUAGCAACUGAUGAUCUAUCAGCUAGCCAUCUGUCUGUUCGCUUAUUAAGUUCGACAAAAGGAGAGGUAUAUAUGUUCACUGUUUGUUUUUAGCUAUUCUUUGCUGUCUCAUUUGCUGAUUUUGAGCAAAAUUCAUUAGGCUUGCAUCUGUAACUUAUGUUCUCUAUAACAUCUUACUUGCUUGUGCACUGAGUGUUUGCAAACUAAGUACUAAGCCAAAUGCCACCUUACUAAAAUAUCAUCAUGCCUUAAUAUUCCAUAUAAUUAAUUAAGCAUGAAACCAGGAGGUGUAACACCACUCACUCAAAAACCAAUCAAUACACAAAGCAAAAGAAGAAAAGCCACAACCUUCCAACAGCUAUAUCAGCAAAGUUCCAAGUACAAGAAAGACAACAAAGAAAGAAACUGCAUUAGAUUAUAUCUGAAUCCCGCAAGCUGGACACCUUGUCUGUGUAGCAAAUCUACCAACAAUACAUCUUCGAUGGAAUCUAUGCGAGCAUCUCAAAACUCCUACCACCACUCCCUCCGUAAACCUUUCACCACAGGCUCUACAAGAUGCAUGAGCUCGCACGUCAGCUUGCGUUAUACGGACCUCGCUCAUCCGUCCUUCUCUUACGAGCAUGAUUUGUGCUGCAAGGCUUAGCGUAAACUCUAUGCUCCGCAUAAGAUUCUCGUAUCUUUGGUCAAAUUCGGUAGACAAACUGUGAUGCCUAUUUGAGCCAUCAGCAACAGACAUUGCUUCGACAGUGUUUAGAUGGUUCAUUAUUUGCUCAGAAUCGCGAAGUAGAUGUCUUUUGAGGAACUCCAUUCCCUCCAUGUUUGCAAGCAGAUUUCUUUGAUAAAUGAGGCGGGCUCGCAAUCUCCUGAUGUGCUGGAAGAAAUCCGAUGAAUUCAUUUGAUGAUAUGUAGAAGCUUCAAAUCUUUGUUUGCUAGUUCUAUGCCCUGCUGUUAAUGAUGCUAGAUCUAAUAAAAGAACAGAAACAGUGAGCUUCAGUGACAAGAGGAAGCUCAAUAUUUGAAUAAUGUGGCAAGUUUUGCUGCAAUAUUAAAUGAGAUGGCGGUAUGUGUUCUAGGAAGCUUUUAAUGCUGCGUUUGAAUUAUUCUUAGUUGUAACUCUAAAGAUAGAUCUUGUUCACUUAGACAGCAUCUCAAGAAUGUAGCAUCAAACAUCAACAUCUUAGACACAAAGUUAUCAUGUAUAAGAUUAACGCGUAUAUGGAACUUAAAAACUAACGUUAUAAAAGGAAAAAAUAUAUAGGAAGGGUAUUUUGAUCAAGUUAAUUUAGUUAGUUCUUAUAGUCAAGAUUUUAAACUAAUGGAUCUUAGAAUUAUACUUUGCUUAAACUUAAAUGAGUAGAACUAACCAAAUGCUUUUAGAAAUCAAAUCCUGAUUUCUUGAUUUAAUUUCCAUCACAAAUUUUUUGAAACACAAAUUAUUAAAAAUAAAUAAAUAUAGUUAUCAUAAACAAAAAGAGGAAGGAAAAAUCUUUUUAUCUUGCUGACUCCAUCUCUUAAUCACAAAAAUAUAAUCUCCAAAAAUUAGAGCAUGAAUCAAAUUCACAAACAAACAAUAAAUUUGGAUGUGAUUCAUUAAAUGACUGAACAUAUCCUUUGGCAAUAAGAAAUAUCAUGAUUUAAAAUUAAAAUCAAAAUAGAACAUUAUCUUUCAUCACGCAAAAUUCUAUGCACUAUUGAAAAUGAUGAAGAUCCUAGCAUUACAGAACUUUAUGUCAUUCUCACUUGAUAGCAUAAUAACUAUACAUUUGAUAGUUGGAAAAUAACAAAUAAAUGAAUAAACUAAGAAAAAUAACUAGAUAAAGGUAAAACAUGUGCAUGAAAUAUCGAUGGAAUUCGAUCAUUAAAAUGAUAUGCAACAAACUUGUUCUAUAUAAAAAAAUGAAUAAUAUUAUUUCAAGAUUAUGAUAUAGGUAGAAUGCACAAAUAUGUAUAAAAGGCAUACCUUCAAGAUCUGCAUAGACUGUCAAGACACUAUUUCCUCUUGAAAACAAGGACAUCCAUUCUUCUAUUUAUAGAGAUCUUGAAAAUUUCUUUAUCAUGGAAUUAAAAUCCUGAAAAAACUACUCUUAGACACGUUAUAAAUAAUCCAACCAAAAGCAAAUUCCUUGUCGUAUAGUACUUCAAUAUGAUGAACUAAACUUAGGGCGCUCAUAGGAUAGGUCAAAGAAAACUGUGGCUACAAUCCAUUGUUUUAAAGUGCAUGGUUUCUUGUCCAACGCCUGUCGGUAGGGUUAAAAUUGGAUUAGAUAUGGACACAGAUAUCCGUAUCUUUUUGAGAAAAAAUAGUGCAAAAGUUUCAAGCAAUUUAUUAAGGGGAUUAAUUGAAGAGUUCCAGAGGUGGGAGAAGAGAGAAUAUGUCCCUAACAAGCUCUAACUCAAUAAUAUUCUAGCCAACCAUGCCCAAAAUAGAAUUAGCUUACUUAAAACCUGAGCUCAAUUCUUGAUCCCUUCAUCCUCAUAAAGUCCCACAUAGUACUCUUUGGUUCUUGCCAUCCCAAAAGGACACCUGAAGCUCCAACCAUUUUUAUUUGAUGAAUGUGAAUGCAAAUCUAGAUAUUAAUCAUAUGCUAAUUAUAUUUGUUUAAAUAGAUACAAAUGACAAUUAGAUCUUACCAACAAGAAUACAAAUGUGGAUAUAGAUUAAAUAGUUGAACUUCAAAAUUAGAACGUUAUCGCAUUUUAUAUUUUAUGAGCUCAAAAUAGUUAUAUAAGCCUUUCAUUUGUUCAUAACAAACAAACAAGGUACAAGAAAUAAAAAGAUAUAGUUAUAUCCACUUAAUCACUUAACUCUUUUAGUAGAUUCUGAUGAUUUUGUUGAGUACUUAUUGAGGAUGUAAUUCACCAAAUUGAAGAUAUCACUAUAUCUAUAGAAACAAAAAUUUAAGAUAUGUGGAGAUUGUCACUUGCUUAACUUUGGAGUUUAUUAGAGCUAUCAAAGAUUAAAUAUUACUGCAAACACAAUAAAAAAUUUGGAUACAAAUGAGACAUCAUGCAUCUAUUUUCACAUUAAUUUUUCUUUGAUGGAAAUAUAGAUGUAGAUUUUAAUUGAAUGACAAAAUCAAUAUCUAUAUUAAACAACUUAAGAUAUGCAAAUGGUUUGAAUUGAUAUUAUCCAAUCCAUUUUACCUCUUCUUGUUGGGGUGCAAGUUUCACCCUUCUUGCAUUAAUGCAAGUAAUAGCCAAAUUGAUCUUAGGUUAGCCAAAACUCAAUUUCUAACUCAACUAAAUAUCUUAGUAGAUUGUGCAAUGUGCAUUGAAUUAUAAUUUGAAUUUAAAUUGGUAAGAUUAACCGCGAUCCACACUGGAUUUAGCACGGAUUAAUUGCUCAGAUAAACUGAUCAAUAAUCCUUGAAAACAUCUCAAAUAUAUCCAUAGUGCAUAACCCUCAGCCUUAUCUAGCUUAUAUUAAUAUUAUAUGUAAUCUUCACUAUCAAUCAAGCUGAAAUAAUACCCAACUAAACCCAUAUUUGUGCAGGCGUUAUUAUAAUAUAGAAAUGUGACAUGAACAAAGAUGUGCAAUGAUGCCAAUUAUAAUGAAGAGGAUAUAUGUUAGUGGUUCUUUCAGUUCACAGAUACAAAGGUCCUCAAUUAUAGUACAUGUUAUGGUUUGAGAAUGAUAUAAAUUCUACUAUUAUCUUUCCUUUUUUUAUUUUCUUUGAGAGAAUCAUGAUGAAAAUGCCGCAAUGCAUAGAAACAACUCCUUAGUUCACAUAGAAAUUGUUACUCAACUUUAGAGACAUAAUGAUCAAAAAAACUCAUGCAUGUUAUGAUUUGAGACGUGAUUUCAAGUAAUGGCACCAUUAUCUUUCCUUUUUUUAAUGAGAAUUUAGAUGGAAAUGUGAUUAUAAGUGUUUGAACCCUAAACCUCGCUCUAAAGCAAGCUCUUAGAAGAGGAUGGCCAACUCAUAGAAUUAAGUCAUCUAAUUAACUAAAGUCAACAUCAGCAUAUGUUCACAAUAUGAUGAUUCAACCUACACAAAGCAUAGUUAAUAAAUUUACAGAUCAUCUAGUUGAAAAAUCUCAUGAAUUCCGAUCUUGACUACGAAACCUCUUGUUGAACUUUUGAAGGAUUUGUAUUUGAUUAAAGACGAAGACAUCCAUAUAUCGAAAUACAGUCUUAAUAAUAAUAAGAUCAACUACUCUUUUCAAGUACAAAUUACUCAUUAAGCAUGUUAGAACGAACCAGAGAGCAGUUUAGCAAAUAAUCUGGAAUAGCUAACCAAGAACAUAGCUUUUUAUGCUUCCACCUUCACAAACACUCUAGAAUCUCUAUCUAGUGAUUUACUUCAAAACUGUGGUAAAUCACACUUGUAACUCUAUGUUGGUCUAAUGCAUCCUAAAAUUAGAGUGAUGAGAGGAGGCAUACACAAUGGUGAUGGCAAUAACCAGCUUUGUCAUAGAAAAAGAUAUGAUUUACAUCGAGAUUAUUUUCCUUUGUGUAAUUAAUACGAAUUCACACAAAUCAAGACAAGCACAACCACUUCGACUAAAAAUUCGAUUCCAAAAUUUUCAAUUGAAGUGAAUGUUACUUUCGAAGCUACAUUUCAUCAAAUCAUACUUCUUCUACUCCCACUACUUGCAAGAAUAGUACAAUAUCAACCAUGUUAGGAUCCAUGCCUGCAUUGUCUCGAUAAAAAAGGGAUGAAAAUGAGCUAGGACUUGACCCAUAACCUAUGUGGAUUAGAAGAUAUCGCAGCACGAAUUUUUUAGGCCUGACCAUAGGCCGAUCGUGGUGCUAGAACGUCGGGGCUUAAACGGAAAGAGUAUAUGAGGACCGUGCGGAUGAGUAUUUAGCCCCAUAUCGGUUAUUCGUUUGGUAGAUUUUGGAUACUUAUACAGCAUCAAAGAACUCAUAUGAUACCUUCUGGCUAACCUUUACCUAGCUAAAUUAUUUUUGAUAUUAAAAAUUCGAGAGUAGAAGAUGAGUGUGUUUCAUGACAGCCUUGUAAAGGAAUGAAUUACUUUAUUUGUGAUUAGUUUUCAUCUCUAUGAAUUGAUUACGCUCAUCUCUCUUCCUCUGAAUCAUUUUUUUAGCAGAUGAGAACGCGAUCAGUUUGAUGUUUUGUAGUCGUAAAAGUUGUGGUGGCUUUUUAUGUUAAGAAAUUUUAAAACUUUUAACUUGAUAGUCAGGUGUCUUGGCAGUGCGAUUUCUGCUCUACUACUAUUGUGUGUGGCAAUGCAGGAGAACAAUGGAGGCCCUAUUGCUAUGCUUCCUUUGUGCAUGGGCCAUAAUGGCAGAGAUCUCGGCCCAAGAAGGUUUUAGGCCAAAGCACGAAACCAAUCAGUUUUAGCUUCACAAACCUCUAUGACAAAAGGACAUAGGUUGUAUCUUCCGCACAAAAGAAAGAAUCCCCUUCCUUCACAUGAGUCCACCAUUGGAUCGCAUAAUGGUCACUUUGAGAUCUGUGCAGUGAUGAAUGGAGUUAGAAAUGUUUUGAGAUCUGUGCUGGGGACGAUCCAACGGUCGAUGCCAUGAAGGAAGACCGAUCAUUCUUUCACAUGAAAGAGCAGCCUCUAUACUAUUUUAAUCCAGCUCAUUGCAACGGCCUCCUCCAACUUUUGUAUUAACAGAAAUGAGUCUCCUCCAAAUUUUGCAUUAGUAUCAUUUGCCUUCGCAUUCAAAAAUAGUCUAUAUUGAACCUUUCCCAUUAUAUAUUAGUCGAUGUUAAUAUUUCAUCGAGAACUAAUUUAUUACACAAUUUGAUGUCAUCUUAUUUUUGGUACAUGUAAA
RNAcentral lists this long non-coding RNA (9854 nucleotides) under Phoenix dactylifera (date palm). RNAcentral's name for it is "long non-coding RNA (PDAC_LNC000447)". The record is from RNAcentral. Lineage: Eukaryota; Viridiplantae; Streptophyta; Magnoliopsida; Arecales; Arecaceae.